Molecule: ribosomal RNA, 403 nt
Filed under: uncultured bacterium
Lineage: Bacteria
Description: partial 16S ribosomal RNA
Rfam family: Bacterial small subunit ribosomal RNA
Source: RNAcentral
AUUGAACGCUGGCGGCAUGCCUAACACAUGCAAGUCGAGCGAGCGGCGGACGGGUGCGUACGGGAUGGGGACUGCCCGUUAGCUACGGAUAACUACGGGAAACGGUGGCUAAUACCGCAUACUGGCGGCUACGCCAUAUGGGAUUAGCUAGUAGGGAAGGUAAUGGCUUACCUAGUCGACGAUCCCUAGCUGGUCUGAGAGGAUGAUCAGCCACACUGGGACUGAGACACGGCCCAGACUCCUACGGAGGCAGCAGUGGGGAAUAUUGGACAAUGGGCGAAAGCCUGAUGCAGCCAUGCCGCGUGUAUGAAGAAGGCCCUAGGGUUGUAAAGUACUUUCAGUCGGGAGGCGUUACCUACAGAAGAAGCACCGGCUAACUCCGUGCCAGCAGCCGCGGUAAUUC